Long non-coding RNA from Oncorhynchus nerka (sockeye salmon), 1029 nucleotides. RefSeq lists it as uncharacterized. The transcript is spliced from 3 exons. NCBI's taxonomy places the organism in Eukaryota, Metazoa, Chordata, Actinopteri, Salmoniformes, Salmonidae. The record is from RefSeq and is a predicted model, not a curated record.
UUGCCCACCCCCCAGCACCAGGUGUGGCCACUAGUCUAUAUGAAGGCCCAAAAUUGUGUGUUCCUUUCUGCUCUGACAAUGGCAUGCCCAUUCGUGCGAGAUGUGGUGGAUGAAGAAGCACUUGUGCUGAGGAGAGCCUUCAGGCGAGAAAGGGUCUUCAGGGACCGGUUGGACCCAUUGGCCUUCCCUGAUGACCAUCUAUAUGAAAGAUACAGGCUUUCUGCAGAUGGCAUCAGGUAUCUAUGCAGACUACUGGGUCCCAGGAUUAAGCACCGCACUGCACGGAGCCAUGCACUGAGUGUGGAGCAAAUGGUUUGUGUGGCCUUGCGCUUUUUUUGCUAGUGGAGCCUUCCUGUACUCAGUGGGGGAUGCAGAACAGCUGAACAAGGCCACAAUUUGCCGCACAAUAAGGAGUGUGUGUCUGGCUAUCAAAGCAUUAGCAGAUGUCUUCAUCUCCUUCCCUGGCCACAGAAGACUCUGUGACAUCAAAGAGGAGUUCUAUAGGAUUGCAGAUGGUCUGCAAUGCUGACUGUGUGAUCAGCAAUGUUGUGGCAAAAUGGCCUGGCUCAGUCCAUGACUCCAGAAUCUUUCGGGCCUCUGAAAUCUAUCAGUGCCUAUCACAAGGUGAAUUCUCUGGUGUGUUGCUGGGAGACAGGGGGUAUGGCUGCCAGCCUUUCUCCUGACACCUUUCACAGACCCCCAGGAAGCACAGCAGGCCUACAACCAUGCCCAUGCCAGGACCAGGGCCAGAGUUGAAAUGACCUUUGGCCUCCUGAAGGCACGCUUUUCACUGCCUUCACAAAUUAAGGGUCAGCCCUGUUAGGGCAUGUGAUAUUACUGUGGCUUGUGCUGUCCUCCACAAUGUGGCCUGCCUGAGGAAGGAGAGGGCCCCCAGAGUGCCACCAGCCAUGGACUGGGACAAUCCGGCAAUCUUCCCUGAUGACGACAGUGGUCGGCUGCUGAGGGACCAAUAUGUGUUGAAUUAUUUUAGUUAGUAUGCGUGCUUUCAAUUUUGGUUAAAAUAUGUCC